ACAAGGAUUUCCACUUGGCUGGGUUCUAGGAAAAAGAAAGAAGGUGAACAUUUCCCCAGUAAAACAGAUGCAUGGUUGUCAGCACUACAGGAAAGGUCUCAAGCCUGUUUUAGCUUUAGGCCGUGUGUGCUGUCUGUGUUAAGACUUGGCAGCUCUCUGUGCAUCUCAGUGCUUGGGCUUGUUUAGUUUUACAUGCAGUAAUUGUCACAUGUCGGCCAAACGCAGCACUGAGUUGGCCAAACAGCCUGGGAUUUCAACACCGUUUCCAGUUUCUCCUUCAGUGGGAAGCAGAGGUGCUAGAAGUACAAGGUUUGACCCCCACGCGCACUGGGUGUGCAGCCAACACUAACCAGGACCUGACUUUCUGUGGUCAGGUGGUUGUUUUGGUAGCUGUUAAAUCCUUGUGUGAGCGCCUUAAUGAGACACAAACUCAGUCUGACAGGCCAGCUCAGGAGCUCCUUUUAUUCUGGCUGUGAAAGUAAGACAUUUGUGGGACCACUUGAAAAAGCUGCAGCCCAGAUUGCCAGCUUUUAAAGUCCUUUACUUUGCUCCAGUUGCAUUAUCUGAUCUCUUGCCUCUGGCAUUUUCUCCAAAACCACUUGUUUCUCAGUAGCAGAAGUACCUUGCCCAACUGGGAUGCAAUAAUUUCAAAGCAAGUAAAGGAAACUGCAGCUGCUCAGCUGAGUCAGCCAAAGCAGCUUCGUGUUCAUUUUCUGAGGGGAUUGAUCGAGUGGGUCCAUUGCCGUGAGUUUCCAGGUCACACCCAACAGCUGCCCAGUAUGGGGCCACACAACAGGGAAAGGUCAGAAGCUGUUUGCUCUCUUCAGAGGAGCGGGACAGAGAAUUCCUCAGUUUGCCAUCACAUCAAGGCAGAUCUGCAACAGGGAUCCUGCACUUCUGCAUAGGAUUUCCAUUCCUCUCGGACCAGCAAGAGCACAAACAGUGCAGGUGCAGCGUCUGAGGGAUCAGCACGUUAGCUUGUGGCCCAGCACAAGGGCUCCCUGUCAAAUGAACGUGAAAAAGAGCAGGCGAAGAAAUUGAGAAUAUGGAAGAUAGCUUGUAGAUAAGAAAAAGAAGGCUCAGAGAUGAGGAAAGGUAAAGCUACCCAGCUCCACAGCUGCCCCCAUUUUCGCUGCUUUCGCAGACGUGGGAUUAGUACUGGAAAUAGAAACCAGGGAUGUUCACGUUGCCAGUGAAGCUCCGUUGCCUGCAGAUGGCAGCUCGAAUUCUGAUCUGGCCUAGUAGCACCACGAAGUUUUCCUCCUUUGAACAGAGGACAGCCGGCACCACUGAUGGACGUGGUUCUAUCUGGACCAUCGCUCCAUACAGUCCCUCCGUGGCCUGACUUGGAUUUAGACAUGCAUGCUAUGUCCUUGCCCAAAGAUUCAUCACCUUCCAAGCAUGCAGCUCUCCUCAGCCUGGCUCAGUGGCGGCGAGGGAUGCUGCCCAGGAACUUCCUGCUCAGAGCGAGGUAAGUUCAGUGGGACAGCGAGGAGCGUUUCAUCAUCAUCCUGAUUCCUGCUGGAAACACGGGAUUAGUUUAACUCGGGAAAGCAGGCUUUGAAAUUGUGAGGCACUGGAGGGUCCCUUCAGGAGCCCUAUGGUCCCACUGUCCUUGCUGCUGGAAGCUGGGGCAGAGGCAGUGGCUGUCCUGCCAGUGCCGAGCACGGGAGUCUGAGCUGGGGUGCCAGGAAAGAGGUUUCCUGAGCUGCACCAGCCACGGCAACGUCACCUCCGCUGUCCUGCGCUCAGUGCUUCCAAAGGGAUCCCAGAACGCAGAGAAAGGAAAAGAGUGAGCCUUCGGCACCACACUGGUGGUGCUCCGGUGGCCCCUGAAGCCUGAUUCUCUGCAUGCAUGUCCCUCGGCCCAGGGCUGCCUGAUGCCAUGUGAGGGCACGAGUCCCGAGGGGUAAUGCAGUUAUCAGACUCCCCCCACUAACGACUAGUCAAGUGGCUCCUGUCUUGGUCAUGGUGUCACUGCUCCUGGGAAGGAGAGAAGGAUGAGGCAACCCAAGGCAGCCGUCAGUCCCGACACUGACCUUCCAAUGCCCAUCCCAACAGCACCAAUGCUCCUUGUGGGCCGAUGACACAUUGCUAAUACAGCAGAGACAGUUGAUUGGUGAUGUACCGACAGGUACCAGUCACUGGGAUCGUCUCUGACAGCUCUGGAAGCGCUGACACACAGCUGUCCGGAGCAGGGAGUGAGUAAAUAAAUGAUAGCAGAUGCCUUAAAAAGAGCUCUGCCAUGGGAAUUCAGAGCCAAAUCCCAUGUUUAGCACGGGCUGUGAACACAGAAGCGCUCUGUUUAAAAAAAAAAUGAAAUUAAAAGCUAUUAUAGAAACCACAGCACUUGGAAAUCAGAUGUACCUUACUAAUUUGUGCCAAAGCUGCUGACUUGGACUGGCAGUGUGAACACCAACACCUGCCAAGAUCCUGUGUGGAGCAGCCCAGAACCCACAAGGUCACCAUCCUAUGGGGAUUGCCAGGGCAAUGGACAGGCCUGAAAAGGAUGCACUAAUGAAGAACUGUUCUGGUUUGUUAACGAUGAGUUCUGAUUUUCAAGGAAAAUGAUGAGAAAAUCCAAAGUAAGGCCCAUCUUAUGUGGCCAUCUGAUUUUCCAUCCCACAGAAUGCUCCCAAUCUCUGACCUGCUGCUUCCUAUUUCACAGGCAUUAACACAGAGAUGAAUU
Cuculus canorus (common cuckoo) is the source of this 2689-nucleotide long non-coding RNA. RefSeq lists it as uncharacterized. The record is from RefSeq and is a predicted model, not a curated record. Lineage: Eukaryota; Metazoa; Chordata; Aves; Cuculiformes; Cuculidae. The transcript is spliced from 6 exons.